This 425-nucleotide ribosomal RNA is filed under the name uncultured bacterium. Its description in RNAcentral is "bacterial SSU rRNA". It matches the Rfam family "Bacterial small subunit ribosomal RNA", at positions 354 to 796 of the family's 1533-position model. The record is from RNAcentral.
GUGGGGAAUAUUGGACAAUGGGCGAAAGCCUGAUCCAGCCAUGCCGCGUGAGUGAUGAAGGCCUUAGGGUUGUAAAGCUCUUUCGCCAGGGACGAUAAUGACGGUACCUGGAUAAGAAGCCCCGGCUAACUUCGUGCCAGCAGCCGCGGUAAUACGAAGGGGGCUAGCGUUGUUCGGAAUUACUGGGCGUAAAGCGUAUGCAGGCGGACUUUUAAGUCGGGGGUGAAAUCCCGAGGCUCAACCUCGGAACUGCCUUCGAUACUGGAAGUCUUGAGUCCGGGAGAGGUGAGUGGAACUCCGAGUGUAGAGGUGAAAUUCGUAGAUAUUCGGAAGAACACCAGUGGCGAAGGCGGCUCACUGGCCCGGUACUGACGCUGAGAUACGAAAGCGUGGGGAGCAAACAGGAUUAGAAACCCGUGUAGUCC